GAGUUUGAUCAUGGCUCAGAGCGAACGCUGGCAGCGUGCUUAACACAUGCAAGUCGAGUGCGUAGUCAUCUGUAGCAAUACAGGUGGCAGGCGCACGGCGCACGGGUGCGUAACACGUGGGUAAUCUGCCCUCUGAUGGGGAAUAACCCGCCGAAAGGCGGGCUAAUACCGCAUAACAUCCCUUUGGCUUCGGCUGGGGGGAUCAAAGUCCGCCGCAAGGCGGACGUCGGAGGAGGAGCCCGCGCCCGAUUAGCUAGUUGGUGAGGUCAUGGCUCACCAAGGCUUUGAUCGGUAGCCGGUCUGAGAGGACGACCGGCCACACUGGAACUGAGACACGGUCCAGACUCCUACGGGAGGCAGCAGUGGGGAAUAUUGCGCAAUGGGCGAAAGCCUGACGCAGCGACGCCGCGUGGGGGAUGAAGCUUCUCGGAGUGUAAACCCCUUUCGACCCGGACGAAAAAUCCCGCAAGGGAUCUGACGGUACGGGUAUAAGAAGCCCCGGCUAACUACGUGCCAGCAGCCGCGGUAAGACGUAGGGGGCCAGCGUUGCUCGGAAUAACUGGGCGUAAAGGGUUCGUAGGCGGUGUGGCAAGUCGGGAGUGAAAUCCUGAGGCUUAACUUCAGGACUGCUUCCGAAACUGCCAUGCUCGAGUG
This 654-nucleotide ribosomal RNA is filed under the name uncultured Acidobacteriota bacterium. RNAcentral describes it as "bacterial SSU rRNA". It matches the Rfam family "Bacterial small subunit ribosomal RNA", at positions 9 to 648 of the family's 1533-position model. Lineage: Bacteria; Pseudomonadati; Acidobacteriota. The record is from RNAcentral.